UACGGAGGAUGCAAGCGUUGUCCGGAUUCAUUGGGCGUAAAGAGCUCGUAGGCGGCUGUUCAAGUCGAACGUGAAAACUCGGAGCUCAACUCCGAGCCUGCGUUCGAGACUGGAUGGCUAGAGUUUGGUAGGGGGAUCUGGAAUUCCUGGUGUAGCGGUGGAAUGCGCAGAUAUCAGGAGGAACACCGGUGGCGAAGGCGGGAUCCUGGGCCAGUACUGACGCUGAGGAGCGAAAGCGUGGGGAGCAAACAGG
RNAcentral lists this ribosomal RNA (253 nucleotides) under uncultured bacterium. RNAcentral describes it as "partial 16S ribosomal RNA". It matches the Rfam family "Bacterial small subunit ribosomal RNA", at positions 524 to 776 of the family's 1533-position model. The record is from RNAcentral.